GGUUAAGCGACUAAGCGUACACGGUGGAUGCCCUGGCAGUCAGAGGCGAUGAAGGACGUGCUAAUCUGCGAUAAGCGUCGGUGAGGUGAUAUGAACCGUUAUAACCGGCGAUUUCCGAAUGGGGAAACCCAGUGUGUUUCGACACACUAUCAUUAACUGAAUCCAUAGGUUAAUGAGGCGAACCGGGGGAACUGAAACAUCUAAGUACCCCGAGGAAAAGAAAUCAACCGAGAUUCCCCCAGUAGCGGCGAGCGAACGGGGAGGAGCCCAGAGCCUGAAUCAG
Molecule: ribosomal RNA, 283 nt
Filed under: Escherichia coli
Lineage: Bacteria; Pseudomonadati; Pseudomonadota; Gammaproteobacteria; Enterobacterales; Enterobacteriaceae
Also listed under: 1 other name
Description: partial 23S ribosomal RNA
Rfam family: Bacterial large subunit ribosomal RNA
Source: RNAcentral